AUGGCUGACAAGUGCGGCAACUGCGACUGUGCCGACAAGACCCGGUGCGUGAAGAAGGGCGACAGCUAUGGCGUCGUCAUGGUUGACACCGAGAAGAGUCCUGAUAGUAUUUGCAAAUUAUGUUGUAGAUCAAUAGCUCGCGUUGUAGCUUCCCUAUGUUUUUUUAUAUGUUCCUAG
Molecule: ribosomal RNA, 177 nt
Filed under: Triticum aestivum (bread wheat)
Lineage: Eukaryota; Viridiplantae; Streptophyta; Magnoliopsida; Poales; Poaceae
Description: partial small subunit ribosomal RNA
Source: RNAcentral